GGGGAUGUAGCCCUGUGGUAGAGCACUUGCCUGGCAUGCCUGAGGCUCUGUGUGCAAUCUCCAGCAUUUCCA
This 72-nucleotide transfer RNA is filed under the name Heterocephalus glaber (naked mole-rat). It matches the Rfam family "tRNA". From Rfam's summary of the family: Transfer RNA (tRNA) molecules are approximately 80 nucleotides in length. Their secondary structure includes four short double-helical elements and three loops (D, anti-codon, and T loops). The record is from Rfam by way of RNAcentral. Lineage: Eukaryota; Metazoa; Chordata; Mammalia; Rodentia; Bathyergidae.